UGGGGAAUCUUGCGCAAUGGGCGAAAGCCUGACGCAGCGACGCCGCGUGGGUGAUGAAGGCCUUCGGGUUGUAAAGCCCUGUGGGGAGAGACGAAUAAGUCGGAGCCAAUACCUCCGGCGAUGACGGUAUCUCCUUAGCAAGCACCGGCUAACUCUGUGCCAGCAGCCGCGGUAAGACAGAGGGUGCAAACGUUGUUCGGAAUUACUGGGCGUAAAGCGUGUGUAGGCGGCCUUGCAAGUCGGAUGUGAAAGCCCCGGGCUCAACCCGGGAAGUGCACCCGAUACUGCUAGGCUUGAGUACCGGAGAGGUUGGUGGAAUUCUCGGUGUAGAGGUGAAAUUCGUAGAUAUCGAGAGGAACACCGGUGGCGAAGGCGGCCAACUGGACGAGUACUGACGCUGAGACACGAAAGCGUGGGGAGCAAACAGGAUUAGAUACCCCGGUAGUC
Molecule: ribosomal RNA, 447 nt
Filed under: uncultured bacterium
Lineage: Bacteria
Description: bacterial SSU rRNA
Rfam family: Bacterial small subunit ribosomal RNA
Source: RNAcentral